UUAUGCGAUAACUUGGUGUGAAUUGCAGAAUCCCGUGAACCAUCGAGUUUUUGAACGCAAGUUGCGCCCAAAACCUUCGGGUCGAGGGCACGUCUGCCUGGGUGUCACGC
This 110-nucleotide ribosomal RNA is filed under the name Breynia androgyna (katuk). Its description in RNAcentral is "Sauropus androgynus partial 5.8S ribosomal RNA". It matches the Rfam family "5.8S ribosomal RNA", at positions 51 to 154 of the family's 154-position model. From Rfam's summary of the family: 5.8S ribosomal RNA (5.8S rRNA) is a component of the large subunit of the eukaryotic ribosome. The record is from RNAcentral. Lineage: Eukaryota; Viridiplantae; Streptophyta; Magnoliopsida; Malpighiales; Phyllanthaceae.